GAUCCAGCCAUGCCGCGUGUAUGAAGAAGGCCUUAGGGUUGUAAAGUACUUUUGUUAGGGAAGAAAAGCUAGUUUUUAAUAAAAAUUAGUGAUGACGGUACCUAAAGAAUAAGCACCGGCUAACUACGUGCCAGCAGCCGCGGUAAUACGUAGGGUGCAAGCGUUAAUCGGAAUUAUUGGGCGUAAAGCGAGUGCAGACGGUUACUUAAGCCAGAUGUGAAAUCCCCAAGCUUAACUUGGGACGUGCAUUUGGAACUGGGUGACUAGAGUGUGUCAGAGGGAGGUAGAAUUCCACAUGUAGCGGUGGAAUGCGUAGAGAUGUGGAGGAAUACCGAUGGCGAAGGCAGCCUCCUGGGAUAACACUGACGUUGAGGCUCGAAAGCGUGGGGAGCAAACAGGAUUAGAUACCCUGGUAGUCCACGCCUAAACGAUGACAAUUAGCUGUUGGGCUUUGAAAGGCUUAGUAGCGAAGUAA
Molecule: ribosomal RNA, 475 nt
Filed under: uncultured eubacterium A19-K1
Lineage: Bacteria
Description: bacterial SSU rRNA
Rfam family: Bacterial small subunit ribosomal RNA
Source: RNAcentral